Molecule: long non-coding RNA, 1079 nt
Organism: Cicer arietinum (chickpea)
Lineage: Eukaryota; Viridiplantae; Streptophyta; Magnoliopsida; Fabales; Fabaceae
Source: RefSeq, a predicted model, not a curated record
UAAACAACUUAAAGGAUACUACCGUUCUCCUUCAUCCUCGCACGCCCUAGUGCCUCCAUUUUUCCCAAACCCUAGUGCCUCCAUUUUUCCCAAACCCUAGUGCCUCCAUUUUUCGUUUUUCGUUCAAACUUUCUCCUUCAUCCUCGCAAACCCUAGUGCCUCCAUUUUUCCCAAACCCUAGUGCCUCCAUUUUUCGUUUUUCGUUCAAACUUUCUCCUUCAUCCUCGCAAACCCUAGUGCUUCCAUUUUUCGUUCUCACCGGUCUCCUUCAUCCUCCAUUCACUUUCUCCUUCAUCUUGAUCAUCUUUAAGGCCUCAAUAAACACCAUCUCCCGUUCCAUUAGCAUCUCCAUCUUCGCAACCUUCAAUGUCCCGAGUAAAUGCCAGUUACGUGGUAGUGAUAGCACCAAAAUAUCACUAGUAGCACGAACCCUAAUCACCUUCCACCGUUUUGCAUUUUGCCUCUCUGUUUUUUUUCCAAAUCGCAUGAACCCUAAUCAGCUGCCAUGGUUUCUCAUUUCUUAAUUUAUUUUCUUUUUCAAAUUGCAGGAACCCUAACCUACAUCUGGUGAGUCCUAAGCACACUUUCAGUCCAAAUAAUGGUUGAAGACAGAUAAUACCAAUAAAAAGCAUGUCAAUAAAGAAAUGGUUUAAGGAAAGAAAGAUGAAGAGGAAAGAAGAACAGAGAUUGCACAGAGCAGAGGUGCAUGCAGCAAUGUCAAUUGCAAGUGUUGCAGCAACACUUUCUGCUAUUGCUUCUGAAAAUUCAAAAAAGGAGGAAUCAAUGAAGAUAGAGAUGCAACAAUAGCUUAUGCUUCUAUUUUGGUUGCUGCCCAGUGUGCAAUAGUAGCUGAAGCAAUGGGAGCUAAGAAAGAAGAUCUUACUAGUACAAUGUUAUUAGUUCUGCCAUGAGGUGUACUUUAAUUGGUGUGAUGGCAAACUACUAAUGUGUACAAGAUUGUGAAGGCAAACUAGAAUAAGAUUGUAGUUUUAUUUGUAAUAUUGAGUACUUAGAAAUAUUACUUAAAUAUAUUAUAUUCUUUAGUUAUAUACGGUGAAAUGAUUAAUGCUUUUAAAUGA